Molecule: long non-coding RNA, 952 nt
Organism: Arachis stenosperma
Lineage: Eukaryota; Viridiplantae; Streptophyta; Magnoliopsida; Fabales; Fabaceae
Exons: 2
Source: RefSeq, a predicted model, not a curated record
UGGGAUGACCAAUAGAAGAUAAACCCCAACAAUACAAUUAUUCCUUCCACAUACAUGAUGCAAGCAAAUUUCUCUUUCAGUUUCUGUAUAAAUACCCCUUCAUAUCCCUUCUUUCUCUUCAUUACAACAUCAUAUGAAACAUUUUCCAUAGUAAUGGAACAGUUUUUGGGUAGGGAGAAGAGAGGAAAUAACUAAGGGUUAAUUAAUUACUUGUCCCUCAUAAACACUUUCAAAAGCAAUAGUGAUGCUUUAGUUAAUUAUCAGCUUAAUUAGUGUGAUUAUUCAUCAAGUAAUGGAGAGUAUUAUGGUAUUGAGUUUUCGUCUUCGCUAAUUAACGGUAAAGGGUGGUGACAGAAGAGAGUGAGCACACAUGGUGUUUUCUUGUAUGGUGAUAUUUCAUACUUGAAGCUAUAUGUGCUCACUCUCUUGCUGUCACCCCGUAACCAUUUCUCACUAUCUUUUUUCAAUUUCUGCAAUAUAUAUAGAUAUACUAUUUUUUUUUUGGAUUUUAUUAUCUUCUUAUGCUUUAACUAACCCUAGCUAGCAACUUAUUAGGCUUAACUUAUGAAGCUCACAUCUCAGGUAACAGUCUUGCUGAUGAAAUAUAUACAUAGUCCCAUAUGAAUUGAUGAGUUGUGAUAGGAGCAAAGCUACAUCAAUGAAAUGAAAAUUAAUUAACAAUAAUAUGUAUCUUUCAUUUCAAAACAAGAAAGAAGUAUCAGGAAUGAAGGAUGUUGAAAGGGUUAUUAUAUGCAUAUCUAUCAUCUUCUUCAAUUUCUUGGAUAUAUGUGUCUGUAAGAACAACGUUGUUGUCUCUGAUCUGUCAAAAUUUAUUGUCAGAAUUUUAAUUCUUGAAAGAAAAAGAAAAUGGUGCAGCUUACUAUAUGUAUAUGUCAUAUGUCAUUCUAGCUGGAAUCAAAUAAAUUUGAGCAAAAUAUAUAUUUGCCAGAAA